AACGAACGCUGGCGGCAUGCCUAACACAUGCAAGUCGAACGAGACCUUCGGGCCUAGUCGCGCACGCGUGCGUAACGCGGGGGAUUCUGCCCUUCGGUCGGGCAUAACGGAGAGAAAUUUCAGCUAAUACCUUAUAAUGUCUCCGGUCCAUAGAUUUAUCGCCGAGGGAUGAGCCCGCGUGGGAUUAGGUGGUUGGUGGGGUAAUGGGCUAUCAAUCCUUCGUUCCUUAGCUGGUCUGGGAGGAUGAUUAGCCACACUGGGGCUAAGACACGGCCCAGACUCUUACAGGAGGGAGCAGUGGGGGAUAUUGGACUGUGGGCGGAGUGCUGAUGCAGCACUGCCGGGUGAGUGAUGAAGGCCUGAGGGUUGUGCAGCUAUUUUAUCCGGGACGAUAAUGACGGUACCGGGAGAAUAAGCUCCGGCUAACUCCGUG
RNAcentral lists this ribosomal RNA (433 nucleotides) under uncultured bacterium. RNAcentral describes it as "partial 16S ribosomal RNA". It matches the Rfam family "Bacterial small subunit ribosomal RNA", at positions 29 to 507 of the family's 1533-position model. The record is from RNAcentral.